This 26-nucleotide non-coding RNA is filed under the name Mus musculus (house mouse). The record is from RNAcentral. Lineage: Eukaryota; Metazoa; Chordata; Mammalia; Rodentia; Muridae.
UACCUCACCUAGAAUCUGAAAAGCCC